Molecule: long non-coding RNA, 3553 nt
Filed under: Homo sapiens (human)
Lineage: Eukaryota; Metazoa; Chordata; Mammalia; Primates; Hominidae
Description: non-protein coding lnc-PAPOLA-1:13
Source: RNAcentral
GUUCCUGCUCCGGCUCCUGCGGGGAUGGAUGCUUCACGCAGUAAGCGACCUAAGUCGCGGAAGCGUAGACACCCGGCUUUUCCCGCGUGCUCUAUCGGGCUCCCCUGGACACGGAGGGUGGAGCAGAAAGAGCAGAGGGGCCGGUGGGAGCCAUGGGGAGUCCGCCUAGCUCCAGAGGACACCUUACCUGGAUCCGCCUUUGUAGCCUCCUCCUGGCUCUGGGGGCUGUCCUGUGGGGUCCGAGUAGCUGAAAGACAGCCCCUCCAUGUGAGGAAGCCCCCAACUGGGGAAAACCCCCUCGUGGACUCAUUCCUGUCCCUGCAUGUGGCCUUCACCUGACUGUCUGCAUUGAGGCAUCCUCUGCCAAGAGCAAUUUCAAAGUGGCAGGGAGAAUGAGGCACUGGCCUGGGCACAGAAUUGAAGGGGCACCAAAAAUCGCAAUCAUCAAGGGAAAUCGUAUUUUAAUGCCAUAUUUUAAAACUCAAAAUUAACAAAAGGAAUCCAUGAUGAACGAACUAUCAACAUUUCAAGUAAAGACAGGAUCUGUUUCAUGGAUAUCUCCUUUUGCCUCAGGGUCCAAUAUGGAACGGCAUAGUUGAUUCUGUCUUUAUUUAAAAUUUUUGGCGGCGCGCGGUGGCUCAAGCCUGUAAUCCCAGCACUUUGGGAGGCCGAGGCGGGUGGAUCACGAGGUCAGGAGAUCGAGACCAUCCUGGCUAACACGGUGAAACGCCGUCUGUACUAAAAGUACAAAAAAAUUAGCCGGACGUGGUGGCGGGAGCCUGUAGUCCCAGCUACUCCGGAGGCUGAGGCAGGAGAAUGGUGUGAACCCGGGAGGUGGAGCUUGCAGUGAGCCGAGAUGGCGCCACUGCACUCCAGCCUGGGUGACAGAGCGAGACUCCAUCUCAAAAAAAAAUGAUAAUAAAUAAAAUAAAAUUUUGAUUUUUUGUUCAUCGUGGAUUUUUUUCCCCAUUACUUUUUGCAUUAACAUUAUUUAUCUUGAAUUCUGGCUGCUCUUAAAUUCUGCACCCAAGGCAAGUGGGCUUCACUCUAGUCCCAUUCCGGGAGGACGGUGGAUUCGUGAGCAUUCGGGAGACCACCACAGGACCCUUAAGCUGCUUCAUUGCGCAGUGGGAUCCCCUGUAACCCCAGACUUCAGUAAUAAUCCCACACAGAAAGGUCUUACGUGAGUGUUUUCUUGUGAAAAUUAAAGGAAAGUGCUGCUUUCAACAUCUGCCACAUUUGCAAGAAGAGCAAAGGUGGCCCAUUUGAGACCACCCUUGAACUAAACCAUCCAGUGAGCCCCUGAGGUCGGGACAGAAGUGGCCAUGACCUUCCUCAAGCAGGGACUGUGGUGGAGCCCACCUUAUCCAGCACAAGGUGGCCUGCUGACUUCUGGUGACAGUGAUGCCAACUUCCUGGCUGUCCAAGGUUCAAAUCUUGGUCUUAAUCCUCCUGGCCUUCUCUCAUCAAUGGCCAGAGCCACCCUAGCUAACAAGGUGCCCAGGGACUCCGGGGUGGGAGAAGUCCAGCUUCUUCUUAGCUGAGGACAUUUGAGUCUCGUCACAGCCCCCAAAAGAAUACUCAUUUUUGUAGCUGGAGGGCCUGGCCUCUGUCUAUCUUUGCUUUUCCAGAAGCUGACAAGUACCUGCCGGAAAAACUGCCUCUUUUCCCUCCCGUGCUUGGAGCAGGCAUUGCUGACAGAUCACAGCUGCUGGGCCCAAAGGUCCCUUUGCACGCGGGACUUCAGGAAGUUGCUGCUGACCUAUGGGAGUUGGUGCAGAAAGAUGAAAUUUGUUAUCCUUGGCUGUAUCAACUCUCUCUCCUCUCCUUGGUGGUGAUAGUUUUGUUCUUAAAAGCCUCUUGUGAGAGAAUUUGUGGAUGAAGAACCUGUAAGAUCACAAGUGAAACAAUUUAUUGAUGUCAAUAGAUUUAUACACGUUCAUUAAGAAUCAAAACUAAACUAAAACAUCAGUCUGACUAAAGAGACCACCACAGAUAUUUCAUAUGCUGUACAUCAGUAACAAAGGGUACCAAAUAGUUAAUAUCCAUGUACUAGUCACAUGAGAAAUGUUUUAGGGUCAUUGACCAGUGUAGUCAGUACAGUGGUCCCAUGGUAUUUGUGGGGGAUUGGUUCCAGGAAUCUCUUGGACACCAACUCCGUGGAUGAUCAGACAAUAUAAAAUGUGGGUCAGGUGCGGUGGCUCAUACCUGUAAUCCCAGCAUUUUGCGAGAAUCACUUGAGGCCAGUUCAAGAUCAGCCUGUGCAACAUAGCAAGACUCCACCUCUAAAAAAAAAAAAAAAAAAAAAAAUUAGCCCAGUGCAGCGGUGUGCACCUGUAGUCCCAGCUUCUCAUGAGGUUGAGGUGAAAAGAUCACUUGGGCCCAGGAGUUUGAGGCUGCAGUGAGCUGUGACUGCCACUGCACUCCAGCCUGAGUGACAAAGCAAGUCCCUGUCUCUUAAAAAAUAAAAUAAAAUAAUAGCAUUUGAAUGUAACCUACACACAUCUCCCAUAUACUUUAAAUCAUCUGUAGAUUGCUUAUAAUACCUAAUACACUGUAAAUGCUAUGUAAAUAGUUGUUAUUCUGUGUAGUUUUUAAAAACGUGUAUUUCUUAUUGUAUUUUUUUGUUUGUUUUUUGUUGUUUUUGGAGACAAGGAGACAAGGUCUCACUCUAUCACCCAGGCUGGAGUGCAGUGGCACCAUCUCGGCUCACUGCAGCCUUGACAUCCUGGGCCCAAGCGAUCCUUCUACUUCAACCUCCCAAGUAGCUGGGAAUACAGGCGCUUGUCAUCAUGCCUGACUAAUUUUUGUAUUUUUGUAGAGAUAGGGUUUCACCAUGUUGCCCAGGCUGGUCUUGAACUCCUGGGCUCAAGUAAUCCUCCUGCCUCAGCCUCCCAAACUGCUGAAAUUACAGAUGUGAGCCACCACGCCCGGCCAUUAUUGUUGUAUUUUUAUUUUUUUUCAAACAUUUUUGACUUGCGGUUGGUUGAAUCUGUGCGUGUGGGAAGCAUAGAUACUGAGGACUGUAGUUUCACCAAAAUGCUUCCAGUCACUGUGCCUUCCACCAGCUCCCUCACACAUCUGGGUGCAUGACGUGUCGUGGGAAGAGUGUGGCCUCCAGGGCCCACCAACCUAAGCUUCAAUUCCAACUCCACUCCUGCGGACCAGUUACUUCCUUGAGGUCCAUUCUUCUCAUUUGCAAAAUGGGAGAACAACUUUUCCUCAGGUUGCUGGGAAGAUUAAACAAGAUCGUGAUUCAGAAUGCUUAGCAUGUAUGCUCAUGACACACUUAAAGAAUGCCGGCUACCCUUUCUGUUCCCCUUGCCACACUUACUCCCUCGCUACCUUCUCUGUGGGGGUCCUUCUUCCGAAAGUCAAUAUAUUUCUGAUUUAAGACUUGGCCUCUCUGAGCCCCACCAUGGUGACUCUUGAUUUGAAUGUAGAUAUCCCACAUCUCAAUGUAGAUGAAAAGGUGGAGCUGAAAAUUUAUACCAGAGUCAGAUCCAGGUUUUAGGGGUCCUGGAACCUAUACAAUUUGGGGCGCCUUCUUACA